UUCCCUUCCUUAUCAGGGACCAAUGGAUACCCUAUUGAUUCAUGAUUGUUUAUAAGGAGGUUGUCAAUAACGGAAACGUUUUCGAUUGACUUAGGAUGAUUACUCUGUCUAAAAUGCAGAUACACUCUUGGAGGACCUAUCGCAAGUAGCACUGAUAGAAGAUGUGGUCUAUUGACUCAUCACUGUCCGACCAUCCCUCUCGAAACUUCAACGAUCAAGAGUAGGAGAUUUAUUUUCCUCACACUCGAGGCCCAGAUUCCGAAAGCAAUGAUGUCGAUGGGCAUCCUUGGCCGUAUUGAUUCAUUUAACGAUUUGUUCUAGCUAGGAUACUUUGAUUGAUGACAAUAUAUUCGUGGCGGAAUUCUACCAUAUAUAAAUUCUAUCGUAAGUUCGAGAAAGAUCGGAUAUCGCAAGUAAGCCUGAAGUCUCAACCAGACCUAGAUUGGGUCAAUCUAUCAUCUUUAUAGGCUCACGAUACUUGUAAAGAUCGAAUGGCAACCCAACCGGCCCGAGAACAAGUAUAAAAACAACUGAAGUUAGGAUCAGUUGUUCAAUUUCACUUUUGUUUCAUUCUAGUAAGAUUUACUCUUUCUCGUCUUUGCGAUUUUGAGUUCAUUGAAUUGCAUCUUAGGUUCUACGUUCUGCAAUUUCUGAUGUGAUAAUUUCUUUUCAAUUUUCAGAUAAUUUGUUGUAAUCAUUCUUGAAUUACUUUUUUCCAUUCAAUUUGUUAAAUCCUGGUAAUCUAUUUUUCAAUUCCUGUUGUUCUUGAUUCAAUUUGUUAAUCUGAAUUUGUACCUAAAUCUCUGUCAAUUUCAAUCUUUUCUUCAUAACAAUUCAGUAUUGGAUCAAUUGAAUUCAAUCAAACCAAAUUUUAUGUUCAAAACAAUCCUGUCUCAUAUUGACUUUUUUAAAAUUUGGUGGCCGAAACUCACGACCAAUUCUGGAUCAAAACAAAUUUUCGACGCCAUAAUUAAUUGAUUGUUUGGAUUGAUAUGUUCUUUGCAGAUGUGGUUUAUUGACUUUAGUUAGAUAUUUCCAAAAUUGAUUUCAAUUUUCAACACAUUAAUAUUAUAAAACAAUGAGACUGAAUCUAAAACUUGAUAAGUUCUGACUAAUUCUUAUAAAAUAAUGAAUUAAUAUUCUGAUACUCAAAAUAAAAUAUCUCGAAGGUAAAUCAACUAUUUUUAAAAUUAUCUGUUUUUUUUUUUUAAUCUUUUGCAGAAGACAUCUUAAGAUCAUAUCUCGAGAAGGAUAAACGAUCGAAAUGAAAUAAUUCAUUUAGAUAUCUCACUUGAAUUAAUAAUCUUCAAUUAAAUCAAU
Molecule: long non-coding RNA, 1320 nt
Filed under: Zostera marina
Lineage: Eukaryota; Viridiplantae; Streptophyta; Magnoliopsida; Alismatales; Zosteraceae
Description: long non-coding RNA (ZMAR_LNC004961)
Source: RNAcentral